GUCUUUUUGAAAUAAUUUAAAGUCUAAUCUGCCCACUGAUAAAAUUAAAGGGCUGCAGUAUAAUGACUGUACAAAGGUAGCAUAAUCAUUAGUUUUUUAAUUGGAAACUUGUAUGAAAGAUUUGAUGAAAUAUAAGCUGUCUCUAAUUUAUUAAUUGAAUUUUAUUUUUUAGUAAAAAAGCUAAAAUAAAUUUAAAAGACGAGAAGACCCUAUAGAGUUUUAUAUUUUAUUUUAUUUAAAAAUUGUAUAAAAAUUAAUAUUUAAAUAAAAUUAAUUAUUUUAUUGGGGUGAUAGAAAAAUUAAAUGAACUUUUUUUAAAAAUUAAACAUAAAUAAAUGAUUAAAUGAUCCAUAAAUAAUGAUUAUAAGAAAAAAUUACCUUAGGGAUAACAGCGUAAUAUUUUUUUUUAGUUCAAAUAAAAAAAAAAGUUUGCGACCUCGAUGUUGGAUUAAGAUAAAAUUUAAAUGCAAAAGUUUAAAAUUUUGAUCUGUUCGAUCAUUAAAAUCUUACA
Molecule: ribosomal RNA, 511 nt
Filed under: Melanargia ines
Lineage: Eukaryota; Metazoa; Arthropoda; Insecta; Lepidoptera; Nymphalidae
Description: partial 16S ribosomal RNA
Source: RNAcentral